This 148-nucleotide microRNA precursor is filed under the name Vombatus ursinus (common wombat). Its description in RNAcentral is "miRNA (ENSVURG00010009427.1)". The stretch from base 59 to 127 matches the Rfam family "mir-338 microRNA precursor family". The record is from RNAcentral. Lineage: Eukaryota; Metazoa; Chordata; Mammalia; Diprotodontia; Vombatidae.
CACGAGCGGCCAUGGGGGCAGCCUCUCCCCCAAGCACCACUGCUCACCUUGGCCUUCCUCCCCAACAAUAUCCUGAUGCUGAGUGAGCGGCACACAGAGACUCCAGCAUCAGUGAUUUUGUUGAAGAGGGUGGCUGCCAGCUUCUUCC